This 441-nucleotide ribosomal RNA is filed under the name uncultured bacterium. Its description in RNAcentral is "bacterial SSU rRNA". It matches the Rfam family "Bacterial small subunit ribosomal RNA", at positions 954 to 1392 of the family's 1533-position model. The record is from RNAcentral.
GCUUAACGCGAAGAACCUUACCCACACUUGACAUCCCUCUUGGGACUUUCAGAGAUGAGAGUUUUCGGUUCGGCCGGGGAGGAGACAGGUGCUGCAUGGCUGUCGUCAGCUCGUGUCGUGAGAUGUUGGGUUAAGUCCCGCAACGAGCGCAACCCUUAUCGUAUGUUGCCAGCAUUUAGUUGGGCACUCGUGCGAGACUGCCGGUGAUAAGCCGGAGGAAGGCGGGGACGACGUCAAGUCAUCAUGGCCCUUACGUGUGGGGCUAGAAACGUGCUACAAUGGUCGGUACAGAGGGUUGCCAAGCCGCGAGGUGGAGCUAAUCUCACAAAACCGAUCGUAGUCCGGAUCGCAGUCUGCAACUCGACUGCGUGAAGUCGGAAUCGCUAGUAAUCGCGAAUCAGAAUGUCGCGGUGAAUACGUUCCCGGGUCUUGUACACACCG